This 492-nucleotide long non-coding RNA is filed under the name Brassica napus (rape). RNAcentral describes it as "long non-coding RNA (BNAP_LNC018364)". The record is from RNAcentral. Lineage: Eukaryota; Viridiplantae; Streptophyta; Magnoliopsida; Brassicales; Brassicaceae.
UUUUCUCUUUGUUGUUUGUUCUUUGGGGUUAUGGGUAUUAUGGUUUUAGUUAUUUCUUGGUCCUUAAAGAGUCUUUGCGAAGCUUGAUAUUUUGUUUAACCGGUGGAAUAAUAAUGGGCGUUUGGUUUGUUGGCACUUCAGGUCUUUAGAGAUGGCUUUCAUAAUUGUCUCUGUUAUAUAUUCUGGCGUUUUUAUUUUAUAUGGGAUGUGUGGAAAGGUAUUUGUGGCUAUGUGGGUUGAUAGCUUUAAUCUCAUGUGGACGUUGCUUUCUGUAUGGGGAAGAUGGUUAUGUUGUUUUUGUUUAUACCAGGCACAGACUAAGCUAGUGUAUAGUUAUUUUGAUUACAGGGCUGACCAAGUGCUCAGGCAGGAGUGGACAAGUAAUGUAGUGAUUAUGGAAUGGAGAAUAAGGCUACAAAGGUAUGGCAUUCUGGUCUACAGACAGAAGGACAUGACAAUUAUUGAUGACUUAAUGAAGCUAAGGGAUUACAC